Molecule: signal recognition particle RNA, 264 nt
Filed under: Chloroflexota bacterium
Lineage: Bacteria; Bacillati; Chloroflexota
Description: Chloroflexi bacterium (freshwater metagenome) signal recognition particle sRNA large type
Rfam family: Bacterial large signal recognition particle RNA
About the family: The signal recognition particle (SRP) is a universally conserved ribonucleoprotein involved in the co-translational targeting of proteins to membranes. Archaeal SRP consists of a 7S RNA and homologues of the eukaryotic SRP19 and SRP54 proteins. In most bacteria, the SRP consists of a 4.5S RNA and the Ffh protein (a homologue of the eukaryotic SRP54 protein).
Source: RNAcentral
UCGUGCUAGACGGGGAACUAGCGGUGCCCUGUACCCGCAACCCGCUAUAGCGGGGUUGAAUUCCCUUUCGAGGAUCGGCGGUCAGCGGGACUGUCGGUGCAGCCGGUGUUGAGGGUUGGGUCCUGUGCGGCGGGGGCCUGCGAACCGGGUCAGGACCGGAAGGUAGCAGCCCUAAGUAGUCACCCUCGGGCGCCACGGGGCAGCCUGGCCCGAGCCGGCGGCUCUCGGCAAGCCGAGUGACGAGGUUCGACAAAGGGUGCACGA